UUGCUCCUUUGACGUUAGCGGCGGACGGGUGAGUAACACGUGGGUAACCUACCUAUAAGACUGGGAUAACUUCGGGAAACCGGAGCUAAUACCGGAUAAUAUUUCGAACCGCAUGGUUCGAUAGUGAAAGAUGGCUCUGCUAUCACUUAUAGAUGGACCUGCGCCGUAUUAGCUAGUUGGUAAGGUAACGGCUUACCAAGGCAACGAUACGUAGCCGACCUGAGAGGGUGAUCGGCCACACUGGAACUGAGACACGGUCCAGACUCCUACGGGAGGCAGCAGUAGGGAAUCUUCCGCAAUGGGCGAAAGCCUGACGGAGCAACGCCGCGUGAGUGAUGAAGGUCUUCGGAUCGUAAAACUCUGUUAUUAGGGAAGAACAAACGUGUAAGUAACUGUGCACGUCUUGACGGUACCUAAUCAGAAAGCCACGGCUAACUACGUGCCAGCAGCCGCGGUAAUACGUAGGUGGCAAGCGUUAUCCGGAAUUAUUGGGCGUAAAGCGCGCGUAGGCGGUUUUUUAAGUCUGAUGUGAAAGCCCACGGCUCAACCGUGGAGGGUCAUUGGAAACUGGAAAACUUGAGUGCAGAAGAGGAAAGUGGAAUUCCAUGUGUAGCGGUGAAAUGCGCAGAGAUAUGGAGGAACACCAGUGGCGAAGGCGACUUUCUGGUCUGUAACUGACGCUGAUGUGCGAAAGCGUGGGGAUCAAACAGGAUUAGAUACCCUGGUAGUCCACGCCGUAAACGAUGAGUGCUAAG
This 755-nucleotide ribosomal RNA is filed under the name Staphylococcus hominis. RNAcentral's name for it is "bacterial SSU rRNA". It matches the Rfam family "Bacterial small subunit ribosomal RNA", at positions 80 to 820 of the family's 1533-position model. Lineage: Bacteria; Bacillati; Bacillota; Bacilli; Caryophanales; Staphylococcaceae. The record is from RNAcentral.